UACAGAGGGUGCAAGCGUUGCUCGGAUUUACUGGGCGUAAAGCGUACGCAGACGGCCACGCAGGUCGGGUGUGAAAGCCCCGGGCUCAACCCGGGAACUGCAUUCGAAACCAUGUGGCUUGAGUGUGGGAGAGGAAAGUGGAAUUCCUGGUGUAGAGGUGAAAUUCGUAGAUAUCAGGAGGAACACCGGCGGCGAAGGCGGCUUUCUGGUCCACAACUGACGUUCAGGUACGAAAGCGUGGGGAGCAAACAGG
This 253-nucleotide ribosomal RNA is filed under the name uncultured bacterium. Its description in RNAcentral is "partial 16S ribosomal RNA". It matches the Rfam family "Bacterial small subunit ribosomal RNA", at positions 524 to 776 of the family's 1533-position model. The record is from RNAcentral.